GUGAUCAGACCUAUUGCUUCCCGGACUUCUGUGAACUCCAGCUUUUCUGCUUCAAGUUGAAGUGGUAACUUUCUCUCCAAUUCUUCACCUACCUGCCCUUGCAGACCAAUCUUCACUUUCUUGCUUCUCCCUCCUUCAAGCUCCUCUGUCCAUGGAAUUCUCCAGGCAAGAAUACUGGAGUGGGUUGCCUUUCCCUUCUCCAGGGGAUCUUCCCAACCCAGGUCAAAGAAGCUACAGGCAAACCAGUCCACUCAGUGCUAUGUACUCUUCUUCACACAACAUUUGCGGGGCCUGAAUAUCCUCUUCUCACUCUUCAAAUCCUACCUGCACUCUUGGGUCAGCUCAAAUUUUGUCUCCUCCGAAGACUCUAGACAUGCCAUAAGCGCUAUGAAUUGGAGCAGACAUAAAGGGCAACAGAAUAAAAAGUCAAAGUUUACUAAUCCAGAGUGCACAUGUAUGGGGAGGAUGAUUAAGUAAAAAGCAAAGAAAAGGUAUGGGUUUUUUUGGGAAAUAGUCAGUGAAUUAUAAAAUUUUAAAACUACUCAGUUAUUUUCAUAUUUAUAUAGUGAUACAAAUAAUGACUGAAGUAACUAGCAAAGGGCUUGCUUGCUGUAACCCAAGUAUUUUAAUAAAUACAUCUCAUGUAUAA
This is a long non-coding RNA of Bubalus bubalis (water buffalo), 649 nucleotides long. RefSeq lists it as uncharacterized. NCBI's taxonomy places the organism in Eukaryota, Metazoa, Chordata, Mammalia, Artiodactyla, Bovidae. The transcript is spliced from 3 exons. The record is from RefSeq and is a predicted model, not a curated record.